RNAcentral lists this ribosomal RNA (164 nucleotides) under uncultured bacterium. RNAcentral describes it as "partial 16S ribosomal RNA". It matches the Rfam family "Bacterial small subunit ribosomal RNA", at positions 355 to 510 of the family's 1533-position model. The record is from RNAcentral.
UAGGGAAUCUUCCACAAUGGGCGGCAAGCCUGAUGGAGCAACACCGCGUGAGUGAAGAAGGGUUUCGGCUCGUAAAGCUCUGUUGUUAAAGAAGAACACGUAUGAGAGUAACUGUUCAUACGUUGACGGUAUUUAACCAGAAAGUCACGGCUAACUACGUGCCA